Molecule: unclassified non-coding RNA, 212 nt
Filed under: Hevea brasiliensis (rubber tree)
Lineage: Eukaryota; Viridiplantae; Streptophyta; Magnoliopsida; Malpighiales; Euphorbiaceae
Source: RNAcentral
AUGAUAUUGAGUUUGACAUGAUUGGCAUUGAUCCAUCACUUGCUAAUGCAUUUCGAAGAAUCCUGAUAGCCGAGGUUCCCACUAUGGCUAUUGAAAAAGUUCUUGUUGCUAACAAUACAUCAAUAGUCCAAGAUGAAGUGCUUGCCCAUAGGUUAGGUCUCAUUCCAAUUCAUGUUGAUCCGAGGCUUUUUGAGUACUCAGAUAAAGACACG